CAUAAUCCAAUUAAAAUUUUAUUAAUUAUAGCAAGUAGAAUAUGAGCAAAAACAGCGCUGGACGACAGGGGAGUCUGCGCUCCGCCACUGCCGUGCUGAGCAGUUCAAACAGUCCCUUUUUAUACAUCUUUACUUCCGUGUUCAUGAAGUAGUGGAGGUACUCUGCGCAUGCUUCAGUUGUUGUUAGGGGGUCGUUUUCUACCUCCUGGUGGUCGUUGAGGCCGAAGUAAGAAGUCUUUCUCCUUUAUCCCAUAGCUGACCCCUCAUUCACAUGUCCUUAUCUGGGGUUGUUUGUCCUGUUUCUGUCGGUUCCUGGAAGUCUGGCAGUUAUCUCGCGAUUGUGGUUAUCUUAUCUUACUCAAGCAGUGUCCGAGUUUCUGUCUGCAUAAGCAAUUUCACAUCUUUGUUGCCUAACCUUUACAUUGAGCUUAACAUAAAUCUUAAUAAACAAUAUCCUAGUCCAUAGUUUCUCACAAUCCCCCCUUUUUCUUUUUAUCCUAUUAUUGUUUAUUAGACGUUACUUUCAUUUUCGGCACUGCGAACAAACCUUUUUCCACAAUCCCAACAUUUAUCAUAACACUCACAAGGUAAUACCUCACAAUUACAAAAGGCAUAGUUCUCACGUGGCAUAAUGCAUUCACAACAAUCUUCAUCUUCAUUAAUAGAUACACUCUUAUAUUUUGCCCCAGACCUCGUAGUUAAAAUAAGCAGUUUAGCUAUGUCAAACCGUUCUUUAAUAAAGUGUAAAAUAUAACGUAAUAUACAAGGCCCAAAUAUGAGUCCCAAAAUCAACAUGAUAAGCGGUCCUGCUAAGGCGGACAACAAAGUGGUUAGCCAAGGUGAAACAUUAAACCAGUUUUCGUUCCAUGACUUGCCCGCCUCACGAUCUUUCUUACGUUGAUCUAACCUUUUCCGGAGUUCAGACAUGGUGUCCUGGACUACUCCAGUAUGGUCAGCAAAAGAGCAACAUUCUUCAUUGAGAGCUACACAUAACCCUCCUUCCUUUAAAAACAAUAGAUCUAAUCCUCUUCUAUUUUGCAGUACUACUUCUGAUAAAGACUUUACUGAAGUGGCUAAAUUUUGGAUAGAUUGUUCUAUUUUUGCUAAAUCUUCAUCUACAGCCAUCUGCAAACUUUGUAACUCCUGACCUUUCACUAGGGAGGCUAUGCCUGUACCUGCUCCAACUCCGCUCGCUAUCAGCAGGGUAGCUAGGGUUACUACUGUAAUUGGCUCUCGUUUUUGCCUAUUCAGGUCUCCUUCAAAGUGGCGUAACACCUCCUCAGAGGUGUGAUAGAUUAGACGAGGAACAAUAAUCACCUGUACGCAAAACUGAGAUUGAUCAAACACGUUUAGGGAUAGGCAAGGCGUUACUCCGAUGUCUGAACAAACCCAUUUAGCUCCUGGUGUCGGGAUAGCCCAUUUGUCAUUUUGAUUCUUGUGUUUCUCUAUAUUGGUG
Molecule: long non-coding RNA, 1456 nt
Filed under: Strigops habroptila (Kakapo)
Lineage: Eukaryota; Metazoa; Chordata; Aves; Psittaciformes; Psittacidae
Description: lncRNA (ENSSHBG00005004361.1)
Source: RNAcentral